AAUGCGUAGAUAUCAGGAGGAACACCAGUGGCGAAGGCGGCUUUCUGGUCCGGAAUUGACGCUGAUGUACUAAAGCGUGGGGUAGCAAACAGGAUUAGAUACCCUGGUAGUCCACGCCCUAAACGAUGUAUACUCGAUGUCGGGAUGUUCGGUCGUCUCGGUGUCGUAGCUAACGUGUUAAGUAUACCGCCUGGGGACUACGGUCGCAAGACUGAAACUCAAAGGAAUUGACGGGGGCCCGCACCAGCGGUGGAACAUGUGGUUUAAUUCGAUGCAACGCGAAGAACCUUACCUGGGCUUGACAUAUGUAUGAAGUAUGUAAGAAAUUAUGUAUUCUGUCUGAUUUUUCAGACAGCAUAUAUACAGGUGAUGCAUGGCUGUCGUCAGCUCGUGUCGUGAGAUGUAGGGUUAAGUCCCUUAACGAGCGCAACCCUUACUUUUAGUUGCCAUCAGGUAAAGCUGGGGACCAUAGAAGGACUGCCGAGGUUAACUCGGAGGAAGGUGGGGAUGACGUCAAGUCAGUAUGUCCCUUAUGUCCAGGGCUACACACGUGUUACAAUGGCCGGUACAGAGUGCCGCGAAGCCGCGAGGUGAAGCAAAUCACUCAAAGCCGGUCCCAGUUCGGAUUGGAGUCUGCAAUUCGACUCCAUGAAGUUGGAAUCGCUAGUAAUCGCAGAACAGCACGCUGCGGUGAUACGUUCCCGGCCAUUGUACACACCGCCCGUCACGCCAUGGAAGUUG
This 741-nucleotide ribosomal RNA is filed under the name uncultured organism. RNAcentral's name for it is "bacterial SSU rRNA". It matches the Rfam family "Bacterial small subunit ribosomal RNA", at positions 685 to 1413 of the family's 1533-position model. The record is from RNAcentral.